This 239-nucleotide ribosomal RNA is filed under the name uncultured bacterium. RNAcentral's name for it is "partial 16S ribosomal RNA". It matches the Rfam family "Bacterial small subunit ribosomal RNA", at positions 92 to 334 of the family's 1533-position model. The record is from RNAcentral.
CGAGUGGCGGACGGGUGAGUAACGUCUGGGAAACUGCCCGAUGGAGGGGGAUAACUACUGGAAACGGUAGCUAAUACCGCAUAACGUCGCAAGACCAAAGAGGGGGACCUUCGGGCCUCUUGCCAUCGGAUGUGCCCAGAUGGGAUUAGCUAGUAGGUGGGGUAACGGCUCACCUAGGCGACGAUCCCUAGCUGGUCUGAGAGGAUGACCAGCCACACUGGAACUGAGACACGGUCCAG